Molecule: long non-coding RNA, 1757 nt
Organism: Brassica oleracea var. oleracea
Lineage: Eukaryota; Viridiplantae; Streptophyta; Magnoliopsida; Brassicales; Brassicaceae
Exons: 8
Source: RefSeq, a predicted model, not a curated record
CUCUUUCACGUACAAAUCCUUUGAGCCUUCUUGACAUUAUAUUGAAGCCUCUUCAUUCUCCCUCCUUCUCGCCAUCUUCACUAUAUAGACGACGGCUACACUCAAAAUCCAAAGUUUCUUCACAGACGAUGACAAUUUUCAGAACACAAAUUCUCGCCAUAGCCUCCAAUCUUGGUUACGUUGUCGCUCCUCCGUUGCAGAGAUUUCCGAGGUGAGCACUGUCUGGAUGUGUUAAGAAAACUUUGAUAUCAAAGACACAAAUCUCAGGCUCAAAUAGUGUAUCUGGUUCGCAGUAGAGGCCUGUGAAUCCCUUUCAGAGUCAGAAUGAAACGGUGCGUGUUUUGAAUUCGACUAUAAUACCAAGGAUCUGUAAGACCUUUGCACUAUAUAGGGGAAUUGGUUUGCAUAAAGUGGCCAAGUUUGAGAAUGAGCAGCAAGAACUUCUACGGUUCCCACAAACACUUUUCGACACAAAGAUGCCAGCUGGUCAUACAGUUUUGCAACCUUUCGCAGAUGACUUCUCGAAUUAAAAGAUAUAAGUUGAGGAACUGUUCUUUGUUCUACGUAUUGUUGAGAGGACUCAGUGUGGGAAUGUGAGUUAAUUAUUCUUGCGCAGAACAGUGGAGAUCAAUGGCUGGUAUAGCUCUACUUUGCAUCUGGAAGAUUGACAAGAGGGGAUAAACGUUGUGAGAAAAUCGGAGCACAAGUGAGCCAGAAACUGAUUGUGGUCCAUGGAAUCAUCUUGCUAUCUUUAACAGCUGCAAAUACAUAUGAUCCACAGUCAUGUGACCACCCUAGUUAGACUCUAGCUCCGCCACUGGUCAGAAGCUAGGGGACGCAGCUUAGUGUUUAGUUUAUAUGGUGGGAUAUAUCUAUUUCAAUCUGAUUCAAAUCCAUUACGGUUUGUGUGAUGAGUUACAAAAUAGGAUUUGGAACAAAGCCAAAGUUUAUCCGUGAGAGACGUCUCAAGUCAGCCAACUCAACCAACCAAAUCCAGUUUCACACACACUGCUAGAUCAAUACAAACCACCUGCUCAGGGAUCAGGAAAGCUGGUGAACUGAUGGGCAUCGAUAUGCUGCUCUUGGAUGAUCAGGUUCAUUUUUUGGUGUCGAAACACUUGAACUGGGCUCAAAUCUGAUCAAGAUUAGCGAGAAGAUUGGAGAUUAGUGGAAACUAAAAGAGAAGAAAGGAUAUGUAGGAUUAUCACAGAAGAUGAUGCUACCAUCAAAUGGCUCUUUGGAAGUGAUAGAAAGCUCUGCUACCACCACCCUUAAUUCGGGUCAACUCAAGAAACUGGCUAAAUUCAAUCAAUAAAAAGUAAAUCAAUGUCAAAGUUUUCAUCUAAAUGAUGUAUAUGAACUAACGCAGUGGUGAGUCUAAUGAAAGUUGUUGGAGCACGGUGGAGAAGUGGUGGCAUUGUAUUGGCGAGUGAUGGCCGUAACGGUAGAUUGAAUCACCAGGAAGCGGUGUGCUCAUGGCAUGGCUGUGAUGGUUGUGUGAUUUUCCAAAAAAAUACAGAGGAGACAAAGAAACAGACGUCGAGAAGAGGUGAGUUUUUGCAUCAGCAAUUUUUGUAUUCAGAAGCCAUGGAGGUCAGAUCGAAGGUGUAUAUAAGGACGUGUCGGCAAAGCCAGAAAAAGUGUUAUUACUUAAUCGACAAGAAGCCUAAAGCCUUAAUGAACUCAAAAAUAUCAGUGUGUGAAAGCAAAUUUGGAAGUGUGCUGGCUAGAGUUAGUAGAAUCAUAUCACGAUCAAG